This 105-nucleotide ribosomal RNA is filed under the name Chrysemys picta bellii (western painted turtle). Lineage: Eukaryota; Metazoa; Chordata; Testudines; Emydidae. The record is from RNAcentral.
ACCUACAACCACACCUCACAGUGUUCCAAUCUGAAGCUAAGCAGGGUCUGCUCUGAUCAGUAUUUGGAUGGGAGCCCACCAAGGAAAACCCAGAUGCUGCAGGAA